Heterocephalus glaber (naked mole-rat) is the source of this 589-nucleotide non-coding RNA. Lineage: Eukaryota; Metazoa; Chordata; Mammalia; Rodentia; Bathyergidae. The record is from RefSeq and is a predicted model, not a curated record.
ACUGGACAGUGUGAUAAAUCUGAACCAAAACCACAAAUGCCCAGUUAGAAUAGUAUAAAAGGAGCUGACGACUCCAAGCAAGUCGUUGAUCCGUCCACCGACCAGUCGACCAGUCGAUCUGCUGAUCUGACUACCGACCGAGACAUCUGCACACCUGAUCCCGCUGGAAGGAGCAUCGCCGCCGACCAGACGAGACCAGAGGACGAGGAAAGCGGAGAGGCGGACAGCCUAGCGCCGACUCGACGCCCUUCGUCUACGGAUCGGACCCUCUGACCCCACGGGAGGAAACAUCGCGCUCCCACAAGGACUUGCGCAGUACAGUGCCCCAGGAAGACAUGCUUCCACACCAGUGACUUGAAACCUGAAAAAGACAGUCCCAGCCAUCAAGACGUCCAACACAGGAGAGGAUGUGGACAAAUUUUGAAGAUUGCUCCCAACAUGAUGCCACCAUCCUGAGACCACACCAGAACCCACUAGAAACCAGGGCAUCAUCAUGCUCUUGGGCAUCCAGAGAAGUGAGCUAAAUAGAUCUCUUUUUUCUUUACCUGGUAUUUUCUUUUUCCCUGGUAUUUUGUUGUAGCAAUGGAAA